GACGAACGCUGGCGGCGUGCUUAACACAUGCAAGUCGAACGGAAAGGCCCUGCUUUUGUGGGGUGCUCGAGUGGCGAACGGGUGAGUAACACGUGAGUAACCUGCCCUUGACUUUGGGAUAACUUCAGGAAACUGGGGCUAAUACCGGAUAGGAGCUCCUGCUGCAUGGUGGGGGUUGGAAAGUUUCGGCGGUUGGGGAUGGACUCGCGGCUUAUCAGCUUGUUGGUGGGGUAGUGGCUUACCAAGGCUUUGACGGGUAGCCGGCCUGAGAGGGUGACCGGCCACAUUGGGACUGAGAUACGGCCCAGACUCCUACGGGAGGCAGCAGUGGGGAAUAUUGCACAAUGGGCGGAAGUCUGAUGCAGCAACGCCGCGCGCGGGAUGACGGCCUUCGGGUUGUAAACCGCUUUCGCCUGUGACGAAGCGUGAGUGACGGUAAUGGGUAAAGAAGCACCGGCUAACUACGUGCCAGCAGCCGCGGUGAUACGUAGGGUGCGAGCGUUGUCCGGAUUUAUUGGGCGUAAAGGGCUCGUAGGUGGUUGAUCGCGUCGGAAGUGUAAUCUUGGGGCUUAACCCUGAGCGUGCUUUCGAUACGGGUUGACUUGAGGAAGGUAGGGGAGAAUGGAAUUCCUGGUGGAGCGGUGGAAUGCGCAGAUAUCAGGAGGAACACCAGUGGCGAAGGCGGUUCUCUGGGCCUUUCCUGACGCUGAGGAGCGAAAGCGUGGGGAGCGAACAGGCUUAGAUACCCUGGUAGUCCACGCUGUAAACGGUGGGUACUAGGUGUGGGGUCCAUUCCACGGGUUCCGUGCCGUAGCUAACGCUUUAAGUACCCCGCCUGGGGAGUACGGCCGCAAGGCUAAAACUCAAAGGAAUUGACGGGGCCCCGCACAAGCGGCGGAGCAUGCGGAUUAAUUCGAUGCAACGCGUAGAACCUUACCUGGGUUUGACAUGGAUCGGGAGCGCUCAGAGAUGGGUGUGCCUCUUUUGGGGUCGGUUCACAGGUGGUGCAUGGCUGUCGUCAGCUCGUGUCGUGAGAUGUUGGGUUAAGUCCCGCAACGAGCGCAACCCUUGUUCACUGUUGCCAGCACGUUAUGGUGGGGACUCAGUGGAGACCGCCGGGGUCAACUCGGAGGAAGGUGGGGAUGACGUCAAGUCAUCAUGCCCCUUAUGUCCAGGGCUUCACGCAUGCUACAAUGGCUGGUACAGAGAGUGGCGAGCCUGUGAGGGUGAGCGAAUCUCGGAAAGCCGGUCUCAGUUCGGAUUGGGGUCUGCAACUCGACCUCAUGAAGUCGGAGUCGCUAGUAAUCGCAGAUCAGCAACGCUGCGGUGAAUAUGUUCCCGGGGCU
RNAcentral lists this ribosomal RNA (1346 nucleotides) under uncultured bacterium. RNAcentral's name for it is "bacterial SSU rRNA". It matches the Rfam family "Bacterial small subunit ribosomal RNA", at positions 28 to 1381 of the family's 1533-position model. The record is from RNAcentral.